AGUUAAAUGAACUAAAGUAAUAAGUAAAAUAAAAAGCAGUACACAAAAAAACUUACUUAAUAUUUGAAAAACUUUAAUAUAUUGUUCACUUCAAGACUUCAACAUUUAAUAUAAAUAUCCUGUAGUUUCCAUGACUGAAUAUUUCUCCUUUUUUCUGUAUUGCGUUUCUGUCAUAAAACGUGUGGAGAAAUGAUUAGCUAAUAAAGUAAGUUUACUUUACACUUAUCUACUGUUGCUAAAGCACAUAAAAGAAAAAAAAAAUAGUUAAACGUGAAUAUAUCCUAGAUUCAAUAAACAGUUUUAGUCAAAAGGGUUUUGGUCAACUUUUUGCUGUUGUUUAUCGUGUAGAAUUAAAUCAUUAGCAACGCACGUGACCUCAAUUCGGCGCGAGAUUGUGUUGUGGGAGCCCUGAAGACGUAAUGGCGAACUUGAAGGUUUACGUCGAGCUGUUUGUGUAUUUUGUGGAUAAUAUUCAGGACAAAUGAUGGAUGGUCUUGCCCUGACAUGCCUAUGAUCAUUUUGAAGCAGCACAAAAACUCCCAAGCAGAUAUGGAUACGUCUCCACUGGAGCUCCACCAGGUCAGGAGAUGUUGUUUUUGUCUAUCCUUGCUUCUAUAUUUACCACGACUUCAUGACCGUGUUUUGUUCAUGCCGGGCAAUGUUUCUGUGGUCUAUCUGAUCUGAUAACUCGUCCACAGUCUGAGAGACAUGAUUUUUUGACCUGGUAUCUGGUUUCAUGAGAAGCUUUGACCACUUGUCACAAACCCGUAGAUCCGAUCUUGUGGCGUAAUCGGCAACCCAAGCUCGAUUCUGUGGGUCUCUGUCACUGUGGUGAACUCGACGCACUCUUUGAACUCAACAAAGCAGUGGUGCUUUUUCAGGUGGUGCACCACAGGGAUUUAAAAAAAAGCAGAAACCAACAGCUAGCAUCAUUAACAGUGCACAGAGGAACAUUUAUAUAUACUUCUGUCAAACAGGCUCGCUUUUACCAAGUCCAAUAAUUUUACAGACGCAGGGUGUCCGCAUGCUCUUAAAAAGUCUUAAAGUCCACAUUAACCGGAAGCUGCGACCAUUUUUUUCUGUAUUGUGAUGCAGUUCCUAGAGAAACUAAAUAUUAAAUGAGAAAACAGUGGGUGUGGCUUGUUUUUUUACUGCUGCAAGCUGAUUGGAUGUAGUAAAGUAGACAUUUUUGUUGGGAAAGACGCUAAAGGUGAGUUAAAUAAGCUAAAUUGGCUGUAGUGUAUGAGUGUGUGGGAAUGAGAGUGUGUAUGGGUGUUUCCCAGUACUGAGUUGUGGCUGGAAUAGUUGGCGAUUCACACCUGAAAUAGAGACUAAGCCAAAAGAAAAUGAAUGAUGAUUGAAUAAUAUUAUUGAAUUAUUUGCGGUCUUUUAUAAGAAAUUUGUUAACCAAAAAAAUGUAAUUGGAUCUCAAUUGUAAACCUAAACCCAUUUAAACCCACC
This 1461-nucleotide long non-coding RNA is filed under the name Danio rerio (zebrafish). RNAcentral's name for it is "lncRNA (ENSDARG00000117621.1)". The stretch from base 756 to 827 matches the Rfam family "mir-10 microRNA precursor family". Lineage: Eukaryota; Metazoa; Chordata; Actinopteri; Cypriniformes; Danionidae. The record is from RNAcentral.